Molecule: long non-coding RNA, 1869 nt
Organism: Perognathus longimembris pacificus (Pacific pocket mouse)
Lineage: Eukaryota; Metazoa; Chordata; Mammalia; Rodentia; Heteromyidae
Exons: 3
Source: RefSeq, a predicted model, not a curated record
ACCUCCUACAACAUUUUUCAAAAACAAAUUAAAUUUUCCCUUAAAAAAAGAAGCCAAUGUAUGCAAGCUGCUAUCCUCCCAAAGUGAUGCACUUUGCAGUCAAUCAUUAACUUUUUCCAUUAUAAAAGGGCUGAUUUCAGAUAAGAAGUGCAUAUGUUAACUUUCAGAAAUCUUGGCGUCUACAGGAAAUAAAAGUAUUAGUGUUUUGAAGCAUUUUAUUUCAGAGGGGAAUUGCAAUAAAAAAUUCAUUUGUCAUUCACUUAAGAAUAAUAAUAAUAAAUAUUGAAUAAGUGCCUAGAAAGAGUAUUUACAACACAUGGUGUAUUAGAGACAGCUGUAUUGUCUGCUGCCUGUUCCAUGUUCAACUUAGAGCUGUGUUCAACAGUGCACUGUUAUCCACUUUCAAAAUCCUUAAAUCAGCAUAGUACACAUCAUUUACAAAGAAGAGCUCACAUUUAUAUGGUGAAUUAUACUUUUCAAACAUUCUCAUGCACUUUCUAGACUUUCAAUGCCACCACGACUAUCAGGAGGCUAGGCUACUGGCAAUAGCUCUGUCUUAGAAAGCCAACGUGGGCUUAGAAAUGGAAGCAACUUGCUUUAGAUCACGCAGCUAAUGAUGAAACUGGAAUUACAGCCCUGGGGCUUAAAAUUCUGUUAUGCCACAUUGCAAAAUCACAUUUACAGCAGAGAACACUUUACACUUUAAACGCAGAGCAUGUAAAAUGAUUACUAUGCGAAUGAGUAUUACACAACAAACAAACUCAAAUAUGACUGCCUGCAUCAGCAACAACAGUCAGUUCCCUUGUGUAGAUACAAUUCAUCCAUUUCUCCGAAUAGACAUGGCAACGGAAGAUCAGACUGUGCUGCCAAGGUCUUAAGAUCUUCCUAUCAAUGUCCCCUUCCUCCAAUGCUGGUUGUAUUGCCAUCCUUAGCAGUGAGCGUUUUCUCCCCCUUUGAAAUGCCAGUCCUUUUCCAAGCUGCUCCCCUCCUUGAUCCUACUGCUUACUACUUCCUCUGCUCUGGUUCACCCCAGGCUCCACCCUCCCCUCUUUUUAGUGUCUUCUACCACCUCUGCCUGGUGCUCAAAGAAUCUCUAGUGUUGGUGGGAGGUGCAGUGAACUUGUACAUGUCCUUGGGCACCAGUGGGUGGCGCCAUAAUUCUGUGUGCAGGAUCUCCAUUCACAUAGCAGUCCUACUGCUCUGGGUACACUUUCCUCUCUCUUCCUUGUCACUUUUGUGUGUCAGCCACAGGCUCCUUCUCAUCUUCCUCUAUGCACUCAAGAGUAUCUUGUAGGCACUGGACUAUCCCAGAACUCUCCUGUCUACUUCCACUCUUGGCUGUGAGCUCCUUGCAAGCAGGGUCCCGAUCCAACUUGGACGGAAUUUCCAGAGCUUAGCACUGUGCCUUGCCACCCCCUGAGAGCUGGGACACGUGUGCUCAAAGAAUGAGUCAGUGACAGCAUGAAGGACAACACCCAACCACGGCCCGAAUGUGACCACAGGAGGGACUGGAUUGAGAAAGGGGCUCUUUGGUCUGUGGUCCUCCUGAGCAUUGCUGAAUGCUAAGGUUUCACUGUGGGAGGUAAAGAGCUUCAAGAAUCUGACUGUAGGUGAGGGCAGCCAUGGCUGCUUUUGUCUGCUUCCCACCUGGGGGCUGGAAGUGUGUGUGUGUGUGUGUGUGUGAUGAGGAUUAAACUGUGUUCAACCAUGCAUGCUAGGAAAGCACUCUAUCGCUUGAGUCAUGCCUCCAGACUUUUUAUUUCUAUUUUGUUUUUAAGAUAGCCACCCCCCAACUCAAGAUCCAACUGCCAAGGCCUCUUGAGUAACCGAGAUGAUAGGUACGUACCACCAUGCCCCACCAAAAUUUUA